This 3651-nucleotide long non-coding RNA is filed under the name Triticum aestivum (bread wheat). Its description in RNAcentral is "long non-coding RNA (TAES_LNC001152)". Lineage: Eukaryota; Viridiplantae; Streptophyta; Magnoliopsida; Poales; Poaceae. The record is from RNAcentral.
CCGGUUGUCUGCAACAGGAAUGCUCCCCUGCCACGACUUUCUCACAGGUCCUUCCUUUCGUAUCUUCAAGGUAUAUUGAUUCUUCAAGUUAGAUCGAGUCUGUUCCAUAUGCAUAUAUACAACCAGAAUCUAUUCACAACAAGCUGGGUUUGAAGUAUGCUUUUGUUCCAGUUGCCGAGUUGAAGUAUCACCCGGGUUUCUGUGACGAUCUUCUGAGGUGGAAAUGCUCUGUUUCUACAAACUGCAGGCGCAAUCUCGUAUUGUAUUGUUAGUGGUGAUUCAGGCUAAUUUUUCUCUUUAUGCCCUGAUAUUUCUUUUUAAGUUAGACAUUACAAUCUUAGAAGCCUUCCAUGACAAAGAUAGCCCUUUGUAAAUUUUGCUUCUACAAGUAUACUUUUGAUGGCCAUGCCCCCUGAUUGUCAGUAUAUAUUUGGCUUAUGUCAGUAUACUCUACAUAAUAUGUCUGGAUGGGUGUUCUUAUAUGAGAUAUUUGUGGUAAGUAGUUAAAUCACUCCUACGGAGUGUAUAUCUAUUUUAACCUAGUUUGAGGAAUGACCAACCGGAUGGCUUCUGCAACUUUUGGUUCAAUUCUUGGUUAUUUCAUCCUCACCACAUGAUGUUUGUUGUUUAUUCUUCUUACCCGCAUCGUACAUCUGGUUAAUGUUGCUAUAUUAGCCAAUCUAUUUUGGCAUAUGCAGUGCAUCUCUACCUAUGUUUACGUGUCAUCCUUGCCUUACUAAGUUACCAUGGAAACACUCAGGUGUUGUUUUCUCCCAUGUAUAUAUGUAUAUGUAGAUGCCCUCUACUUUGGCACCAUCAUCUGGGAGGGGUUUGUACUAACGAUGGCCCUAUAAAGCACACCGACUUUGUUUUUCUUGAUGCACAAGUGCUUUUCUGGCCUUUCCUCUUUAUCCUCCUUGGUGAGUCUUACUUUUGUCUCUUUAACUGGGCCUUUAAACAUGUGGUUACAAUCGUAUUCGUAUGUUUUGGUGGUUCGGAAUAGUAGUAUCUAGCACCGUGAUAAUCCUGCAUACUGAUUAUCCCUUUUUUGAUAAUUGUCUUUAGCUUUGUAUAUCAAACGAUUCAACAUUUUCGUUUGUAUUCUAGGCAAUUUACUAAUUAUAAAAACAAAUCUUACAAUUGCAGUCUUACAAACAGUUCAUGAGGCUUCCUGCAAUAUUUCUUUUUUGCACGUAUCUAUGAAACUAUAGUUGUUCCGCUGUUUUCCCCAUGUUAGGCCAAGCGGACCAAUGGCAAUCUUAACCUCAUAGGUUAGUCUUAUUCCUUAAUUUAUUUCUUCAUUUUUCUGAUUUAGAAGUCAUGCAUUCUUAAAGAUUGAAAUGCUGGUCCAGGGAAAACAUCUGGUUAGUCGACAUGAACCUCAUGUUUGAUUGAGUUUGAAAUCUAAUGGAACAAAAACUAGUGAUGUAUAUAGUUGAAUUAAAGUAUGGAGAACCCCAUUCAGUUUGAGGCAAUAAAUAAGGUCCCAUAUUUGAUAAAUUUGCUUGAUUUCUCAUGUUACUUACUGUAGCUCUUAAAUAAGAUCUUGAGAUGUAAUUUUAGAAAAUAGUUGGUACUCACAUGUUUGCUUUCCCUGCUACCGUCUUGCUUUCCCUGCUACUCACUUUCUUUCUUAAUAGUGUAAUUGUCUUUGCUUCAUCUGUAUAGAUGCUAGCUAUUUUAUUAUGAGUUGCUGCUACAAGAGAACUAAUGGUUGAUUGCUAUAUUCACCCUUCCUCACUUUCAUCUAUAUAUGUCGUUGCUUUUUCAUUCUUGCUGAGUGGGUCAAUUACAUUUGAUGAACAAGCUGCAUAUUCCUUUUUAUACCAUUGUGCUCUAUUUAGUUUUGCUUCCAUCAACCAAUAACUGAUUGGGUGGCAUGCCAUGAAAAUGGCGAAGAAAAGCAGUGUGUAAAAUAUUAGAAAGAAAAGCAAAAAGGUCCAUGGAAAAUAUUAAACUUCUCCCUGUUUUAUUUAUAUCGGCAAGAACUUGGGCAUGAUUCCUUCUUCCCCUGAAUACUAAGCUUAUUUAUUUUCUUGGUGUUAGAUUACUAAUGUGGAGAAAUAUAAUUCUUAUUGAUGGUUGCUCGAUGGCGUUGAGCAUCAUGUAAGGUCAUUAGAAGUCAUAGAUGGAUCAACAUAUUCUUCCGCUGCUAAUUAGCAUGUUUGGUCUAUUUUAUUUCAAACAUAUAUAUUAUUCACCAAGGCACCUGCCUACUUUCAUAAUGAUGUUAUAACGUUAGGCGUUAGGUCAUUAGAAGUCAUAGAUGAAUCAACAUAUUCUUCCGCUGCUAAUUAGCAUGUUUGGUCCAUUUAUUUCAAACAUAUCUAUGACUCACCAAGGCUCCUUCCUACUUUCAUGAUGAUGUUAUCCCAUAGUUACAUUGGUGUCUGAAAGUGAGCCUUCUCUUAACUCACUUUAUCUGCAGUAAAUGAAACCUAGAGGUGGAGGGGUUUGGAUGAUCUGUAGUCAAAGGAUACCAUCGAACAAGUGGAUGCGCAAUGGCGCAAGGAGGGUCUCCCCGGAGCAGAGGUAGAGGAUGUUACCAGUUGCAUCUCUGACCUAAAGCCCACCUUGGCAUGGAUGUGACCAGCGUUGAUCCCCAACAUUGGCAAGCACUGUAAGGUCCCUCUUCUUAUGUUUCUGGUGCACAUAUACCACAUAUGUUCAUAUGUACAGUGCUAAAAUGCUUUAUUAACCAAUUACUUCUGCAGCUUUUUCGUCAGGACUGUACUCAUUCAGGGGAAAGUUUAAUUAGGACUUCGAAACCUCUUUUGUAUCCUUAGACCCAGGUAGAUUGUAGAGAAAAAGAGAAAUUUAAAUAAAUUGCCCCUUGCACACUAAUUCUUAGAUCCAGGUUGAUUGUUAUCUCUUCAUUAUAUCAUUAUUACUCGCUCCUUCCUACUUAUUUUUCAGUGAAGAGUUAAAUCUGUCAUGUUCUUGCACUAUUUAUUUUUAUUUUAGCACCAAAGAUAUUGUAUGGAGUUGCUAUUCCUCUAAAGCUUUGUUUUUUCAUCAUAUGAAUCUAUCCAUAUGAUGCGGAGUCCGGCUGCUCUGAGUUUGAUGAGUUCCCUUGUUUCUGCCCAUCUGAUGAUACCGAUGGCAACUGCGGUGCAAGCCGCUUUGAUGAAGAUUUCCUCUUCGACGAGAAUGACUGAACUUCAGGCACAAGAAGGGAACUGAUGCCCUUUUGGUUUAUUACCAAGCUUUGCUUAAGUGUCGUGCUUAGCUUUGGUGCCACUAUGAAAGUGUGCUGAAUUAGAUCUGCACCUGUCCAACCUUAGUGUAAAUUAUUUGUAAUCAGUACUCUCAACCAGUGUUCUAGAUGGAUGAUAGUAGGCAAUGUAUAUCUCCAUAAGACUACUACCCCUUGGCUAUCGCGCUGCUAGUCUAGUUGUUUAUGCAAACGGGCGCCUGAAGCUCCACACGCUAGGCCGACCCAUAUGACGUUUUUCUUUCAAUGUCUUUAACAUCCUAAAAGUUUGCAUGGCUAUUCUAGUAUCGUACCAGCGACCUCUCUCGUCGAGGUAGCAUUGUAUAACCACCACGCCACCCGCUAGGAUCUAGUAGUUUAAACAUCUUUAUUCUUUUAUUCCUACUUUUCCUUUUUUGUUUUUCCUUUUUGUUUUUUCCGUAACCACCCACGCCACC